Molecule: long non-coding RNA, 362 nt
Organism: Solea solea (common sole)
Lineage: Eukaryota; Metazoa; Chordata; Actinopteri; Pleuronectiformes; Soleidae
Exons: 2
Source: RefSeq, a predicted model, not a curated record
GCGUCAUUGGAUUGUCCUAAGACCUUUCACACCUCAUACCUCAGACCCAGAGCAAGAAUGGUGAGGACAGAGGGUCUAUUUUAGUGAGCCACUCACAUGAGUGCUGGAAUCUAUAUAUCUACCCUCUUUCUGUCUUCGUUGUCACAAAAAAACAAGCCUGUGACUAUUUCUCAGCCGGUAAGGGGAGACACACUAAAUUGCAGUCAUGUCUGAAGCGUAAGUACCCAGAUCUCACUAUCGCUCAUCAUCAUACCAUGACCAUGGCUCUUUAAAUUACAAACAGAUGUAACAUUAUUCUGUUAUAAUUCUACUUUUUCUCUUUCUAUGUGGACACCAUCCAUCCUAUACUGUACAGGCCACCG